This 326-nucleotide unclassified non-coding RNA is filed under the name soil metagenome. RNAcentral describes it as "partial contains 5.8S ribosomal RNA, internal transcribed spacer 2, and large subunit ribosomal RNA". The stretch from base 1 to 120 matches the Rfam family "5.8S ribosomal RNA", at positions 35 to 154 of the family's 154-position model. The record is from RNAcentral.
GAUGAAGAACGUAGUGAAAUGCGAUAAGUAGUGUGAAUUGCAGAAUUUAGUGAAUCAUCGAAUCUUUGAACGCACAUUGCGCCCUAUAGUAUUCUGUAGGGCAUGCCUGUUCGAGCGUUAUUGAGACCUCAAGCUCUGCUUGGAAAUGGGCGCUUGUCUUGCCUUGCAGACUCGCCUUAAAACCAUUGGCAGCUGAUUUACAAUGUUUGGUGCACAGUACAUGAGCCCAAGUGUUGCAAUGAGUGGCCCAAAAGUAUACAAUAGAAGCUUAACCUCGGAUCAGGUAGGGAUACCCGCUGAACUUAAGCAUAUCAAUAAGCGGAGGA